AUACGAAGGGUGCAAGCGUUACUCGGAAUUACUGGGCGUAAAGCGUGCGUAGGUGGUUGUUUAAGUCUGUCGUGAAAGCCCUGGGCUCAACCUGGGAAUGGCGAUGGAAACUGAGCGACUAGAGUGUGGCAGAGGGUAGUGGAAUUCCUGGUGUAGCAGUGAAAUGCGUAGAGAUCAGGAGGAACAUCCGUGGCGAAGGCGACUGCCUGGGCCAACACUGACACUGAGGCACGAAAGCGUGGGGAGCAAACAGGAUUAGAUACCCAGGUAGUCCACGCUCUAAACGAUGCGAACUGGAUGUUGGGUGCAAUUUGGCACGCAGUAUCGAAGCUAACGCGUUAAGUUCGCCGCCUGGGGAGUACGGUCGCAAGACUGAAACUCAAAGGAAUUGACGGGG
Molecule: ribosomal RNA, 397 nt
Filed under: uncultured bacterium
Lineage: Bacteria
Description: partial 16S ribosomal RNA
Rfam family: Bacterial small subunit ribosomal RNA
Source: RNAcentral